RNAcentral lists this ribosomal RNA (467 nucleotides) under uncultured bacterium. RNAcentral's name for it is "partial 16S ribosomal RNA". It matches the Rfam family "Bacterial small subunit ribosomal RNA", at positions 28 to 507 of the family's 1533-position model. The record is from RNAcentral.
GACGAACGCUGGCGGCGUGCCUAACACAUGCAAGUCGAAGGAAAGGCCCUGCUUUUGUGGGGUGCUCGAGUGGCGAACGGGUGAGUAACACGUGAGUAACCUGCCCUUGACUUUGGGAUAACUUCAGGAAACUGGGGCUAAUACCGGAUAGGAGCUCCUGCUGCAUGGUGGGGGUUGGAAAGUUUCGGCGGUUGGGGAUGGACUCGCGGCUUAUCGGCUUGUUGGUGGGGUAGUGGCUUACCAAGGCUUUGACGGGUAGCCGGCCUGAGAGGGUGACCGGCCACAUUGGGACUGAGAUACGGCCCAGACUCCUACGGGAGGCAGCAGUGGGGAAUAUUGCACAAUGGGCGGAAGCCUGAUGCAGCAACGCCGCGUGCGGGAUGACGGCCUUCGGGUUGUAAACCGCUUUCGCCUGUGACGAAGCGUGAGUGACGGUAAUGGGUAAAGAAGCACCGGCUAACUACGUG